CUCUCCGUAGCUCAGUUGGUAGAGCAAAUGACUCUUAAUCAUUGGGUCGAAGGUUCGAGUCCUUCCGGGGAGA
Molecule: transfer RNA, 73 nt
Filed under: Lentimicrobium saccharophilum
Lineage: Bacteria; Pseudomonadati; Bacteroidota; Bacteroidia; Bacteroidales; Lentimicrobiaceae
Also listed under: 3 other names
Rfam family: tRNA
About the family: Transfer RNA (tRNA) molecules are approximately 80 nucleotides in length. Their secondary structure includes four short double-helical elements and three loops (D, anti-codon, and T loops).
Source: Rfam by way of RNAcentral